AAAUUGAAGAGUUUGAUCAUGGCUCAGAUUGAACGCUGGCGGCAGGCCUAACACAUGCAAGUCGAACGGUAACAGAAAGCAGCUUGCUGCUUUGCUGACGAGUGGCGGACGGGUGAGUAAUGUCUGGGAAACUGCCUGAUGGAGGGGGAUAACUACUGGAAACGGUAGCUAAUACCGCAUAACGUCGCAAGACCAAAGAGGGGGACCUU
RNAcentral lists this ribosomal RNA (209 nucleotides) under Escherichia coli. RNAcentral describes it as "partial 16S ribosomal RNA". It matches the Rfam family "Bacterial small subunit ribosomal RNA", at positions 1 to 216 of the family's 1533-position model. The record is from RNAcentral. Lineage: Bacteria; Pseudomonadati; Pseudomonadota; Gammaproteobacteria; Enterobacterales; Enterobacteriaceae. RNAcentral also lists the same sequence under 4 other names.